GGGGGCAUAGCUCAGCCGGUCAGAGCGCACGCUUCACAUGCGUGAGGUCGCGGGUUCGAACCCCUCUGCCCCCACCA
This 77-nucleotide transfer RNA is filed under the name Oscillospiraceae bacterium. RNAcentral's name for it is "tRNA-Val". It matches the Rfam family "tRNA". From Rfam's summary of the family: Transfer RNA (tRNA) molecules are approximately 80 nucleotides in length. Their secondary structure includes four short double-helical elements and three loops (D, anti-codon, and T loops). The record is from RNAcentral. Lineage: Bacteria; Bacillati; Bacillota; Clostridia; Eubacteriales; Oscillospiraceae.